Molecule: transfer RNA, 70 nt
Filed under: Ictidomys tridecemlineatus (thirteen-lined ground squirrel)
Lineage: Eukaryota; Metazoa; Chordata; Mammalia; Rodentia; Sciuridae
Description: Spermophilus tridecemlineatus (thirteen-lined ground squirrel) tRNA
Rfam family: tRNA
About the family: Transfer RNA (tRNA) molecules are approximately 80 nucleotides in length. Their secondary structure includes four short double-helical elements and three loops (D, anti-codon, and T loops). Further hydrogen bonds mediate the characteristic L-shaped molecular structure. tRNAs have two regions of fundamental functional importance: the anti-codon, which is responsible for specific mRNA codon recognition, and the 3' end, to which the tRNAs corresponding amino acid is attached (by aminoacyl-tRNA synthetases). tRNAs cope with the degeneracy of the genetic code in two manners: having more than one tRNA (with a specific anti-codon) for a particular amino acid; and 'wobble' base-pairing, i.e. permitting non-standard base-pairing at the 3rd anti-codon position.
Source: Rfam by way of RNAcentral
GGGGAAAUAGCUCAGUUGGUAGAGUGCUUGCCUUGCAUGCACAAGGCCCUGGGUUCAAUUCCCAACACCA